RNAcentral lists this ribosomal RNA (490 nucleotides) under uncultured bacterium. RNAcentral describes it as "partial 16S ribosomal RNA". It matches the Rfam family "Bacterial small subunit ribosomal RNA", at positions 30 to 507 of the family's 1533-position model. The record is from RNAcentral.
AUUGAACGCUGGCGGCAGGCCUAACACAUGCAAGUCGAACGGUAACAGGAAGAUGCUUGCUUCUUUGCUGACGAGUGGCGGACGGGUGAGUAAUGUCUGGGAAACUGCCUGAUGGAGGGGGAUAACUACUGGAAACGGUAGCUAAUACCGCAUAACGUCGCAAGACCAAAGAGGGGGACCUUCGGGCCUCUUGCCAUCGGAUGUGCCCAGAUGGGAUUAGCUAGUAGGUGGGGUAACGGCUCACCUAGGCGACGAUCCCUAGCUGGUCUGAGAGGAUGACCAGCCACACUGGAACUGAGACACGGUCCAGACUCCUACGGGAGGCAGCAGUGGGGAAUAUUGCACAAUGGGCGAAAGCCUGAUGCAGCCAUGCCGCGUGUAUGAAGAAGGCCUUCGGGUUGUAAAGUACUUUCAGCGGGGAGGAAGGGAGUAAAGUUAAUACCUUUGCUCAUUGACGUUACCAGCAGAAGAAGCACCGGCUAACUCCGUG